AGCUUUGUGCAGUGGCAGUAUCAUAGCCAGUGAGGUUUAUGUGAGGUGCGAUUAUUGCUAAUUGAAGAAAAUGGAAAGAUAUCCCUUGCUCUUGGGUAGGAAGAACCAAUAUAGUGAAAAUGGCCAUAACUG
RNAcentral lists this small nuclear RNA (132 nucleotides) under Chinchilla lanigera (long-tailed chinchilla). RNAcentral's name for it is "U4 spliceosomal RNA (ENSCLAG00000020683.1)". It matches the Rfam family "U4 spliceosomal RNA". Rfam says of the family: U4 small nuclear RNA (U4 snRNA) is a component of the major U2-dependent spliceosome. The structure of U4 snRNA from yeast and human has been reported. The record is from RNAcentral. Lineage: Eukaryota; Metazoa; Chordata; Mammalia; Rodentia; Chinchillidae.